GACGAACGCUGGCGGCGCGCUUAACACAUGCAAGUCGAACGGAAAGGCCUGCUUUCCCUUGUGGAUUGCGGGUACUCGAGUGGCGAACGGGUGAGUAACACGUGAGUGAUCUGCCCCCAACUUGGGUAUAAGUCUGGGAAACUGGGUCUAAUUCCCGAUAGGACUGCAGGGUGGUGCCUGUGGUGGAAAACGAUUUUCUAGUGGUUGGGGAUGAGCUCGCGGCCUAUCAGCUUGUUGGUGGGGUAAUGGCCUACCAAGGCGGCGACGGGUAGCCGGCCGGGGAGGGUGGACGGCCACAUUGGGACUGAGAUACGGCCCAGACUCCUACGGGAGGCAGCAGUGGGGCAUAAUGCGGAAUGGGCGGAAGCCUGCUGCAGCGACGCCGCGUGGGGGAUGACGGGCUUCGGGUUGUAAACUCCUUUCGACCGAGAGGAAGCCACCUGGUUGGAAGGGUGGUGACGGUAGUGGUAGAAGAAGCACCGGCUAACUACGUG
Molecule: ribosomal RNA, 494 nt
Filed under: uncultured bacterium
Lineage: Bacteria
Description: partial 16S ribosomal RNA
Rfam family: Bacterial small subunit ribosomal RNA
Source: RNAcentral